Molecule: long non-coding RNA, 177 nt
Organism: Pyrus x bretschneideri (Chinese white pear)
Lineage: Eukaryota; Viridiplantae; Streptophyta; Magnoliopsida; Rosales; Rosaceae
Exons: 2
Source: RefSeq, a predicted model, not a curated record
AAAAUACUAACUGAUUUCUCAUCUGGGUCUGGUAUAUCCGCUUACAACUUGCCAUAUUCUAGCACUCUAAUCAGUGCAGUUGGGAAUUUUGUGGCACAUAAAUAAGCUGAGUUGCUGGUUCCCUUUUGGUAGCCAACGUUUCUUGAGGACUUCAUUCCUUUUUUUCUUAUGGUAAUG